This 77-nucleotide transfer RNA is filed under the name bacterium. Its description in RNAcentral is "tRNA-Trp". It matches the Rfam family "tRNA". From Rfam's summary of the family: Transfer RNA (tRNA) molecules are approximately 80 nucleotides in length. Their secondary structure includes four short double-helical elements and three loops (D, anti-codon, and T loops). RNAcentral also lists the same sequence under 3 other names. The record is from RNAcentral.
GGGUCAGUAGCUCUAACUGGCAGAGCAUCGGACUCCAAAUCCGAGGGCUGCAGGUUCGAAUCCUGCCUGACCCGCCA